RNAcentral lists this non-coding RNA (30 nucleotides) under Mus musculus (house mouse). Lineage: Eukaryota; Metazoa; Chordata; Mammalia; Rodentia; Muridae. The record is from RNAcentral.
UAGGAUCUGUGGCCUAAGUUCAGGGCAUGC